AACUUAUGAGUUUGCAUAUAAGCUAUUACAAGUCAUAUAAUCGAUCCUAUUCUACCCGAUUCACCACCACCCAUCUUCCCGACCAUGAGUCUCUCGCGCCUAAGCCAUAUCCUUCCCACGAUCACCAUCCUUCCCUGAAACCAACAAGACAUAAGUACACGUCUUUUACUUAGUGGAUGCAAGUCCAUGCAACGCACUAUACGUUCUUAUAAUCCUUUGGUCCGGAAAACGGAUCGGAGAGAGGAAGUAAGCGCAUCAGUUCGGCCUAGAACCGGUAGAUCCUUGCGGAUCCGCCGAUUCCUUGCCGAGCCGCCUCCCCGUCUCAACCAAACCGUUACUCCUCCCAAAGUAUGCACGAUAUGAAUAUGCUCAUGAAUGACUAGGCCGAUCAACGAACUAAUCAAGCAACCCACAAUAUCCUAGCCCUUAUACCAUCCGCACGUCCAGAGAUCGUAAUCUCCGAGGCAUUACCACGGCUUUACACCCACCUUGACUACACGGAUUCGAUCGGUGAAUGAUCCGUGUUGCCUCUCUUGAUCGCCGAUAGAACGCUCGGCUCCGCAAACUCUCCUUUUAACCGUAUUCCUCUCGGCAAAUGCCUUAGAGUUUCCUCUGGAUUUUUAGGUGUUUGAGCGUGUCCGAAAAAUGAAGGAAUCGCCUUCUAUUUAUAGUGUUUACGGAUAAAACCGUUUUUCCCAAAGGUGCCCGUUCGGUGGGAACGCUUGUUCGCAUAUAUUCGUUGAAACCGCUCAUUCAUGCAUGUUUGAGUAACCGUUCGUCCGUGUCUGUUCGGCCAACGUACGUAACCGUCAACCCAACCGCCUUACUACCUUCCCACCCGACCAGCUGACCUAGCUAGACUGUCACUCGACCAGCUGACCUUCACUCCGUCCAGCUUAGGUGAGCUACCAAUCAGCUGGUCCAGCUAGUCGAGCUGGUUAGCUCAACACUUCUAGCUCGUUUCAGCUUGUUAAGCACUUGGGAAGCCAUUCUAUCCGCUUCCCUUAGACUUAGCCCGAGGUUUCCACACUUCCCUCGAACCAAGUCUUCCCCGGCGAUCCUAUUGAGGAUCGCGGGUGUUACAAGUCUCCCCCCCUUGAAUGGGAUUCGUCCCCGAAUCCGACUUAAGUGGAUCUUCAUCCAUCUCCUUAAACCACUUAGGAAAAUCGGCCUUCAUCUUAUUCUCCGUUUCCCAAGUAGAUUCUUCGCGGCCACCGCAAUCCCACAAAACUUUUAUCAUGGUUAUCCAUUUCCUCCGAGUUCCCUUCUCCAUUCGAUCCAUGAUUCGAAUUGGUCUUGCUUUCACCGUUAGGUUUUCUUUUAACAAGGAAGGAAUAUCUUCGACACGCUCCUCGUGUUCGCUUAGACAUUUCCGAAGUUGUGAUACAUGGAAGACCUUGUGGAAUGCAUCCAACUUUGGUGGUAGUUGGAGUUUGUACGCCACAGCCCCUACCCUUUCGAUCACCUUGUAUGGACCAACGUACCUUGGACUCAAUUUCUUCCUUUUAGUAAAUCGCCCUUUUCCCUUAUAAGUCACCGCCUUAAGAUAUACCAAAUCUGCCACUUGGAACUCCAACUCUUUUCGACGCUUAUCCGCAUAACUUUUUUGUCGGUUUUAGGCUUCCUUUAGUUUUAUCUUAAGGAACUUCAUCUUUUCGGUGGUUUCAUCCACAAUCUUCGGACCGAACAGCAUACGUUCGCCCACCGGUGUCCAACAUAGCGGCGUCCGACAUGCUCGGCCGUACAACGCUUCGUAAGGCGACAUACCAAUACUAGCUUGAUAGCUAUUAUUGUACGCGAACUCCACCAACCUUAAGUACUUUUCCCAAUUCCCACCCCAAUCCAAGACGCAUGCACGUAACAUGUCCUCAAGGGUUUGAAUCGUUUGCUCGGAUUGUCCGUCCGUUUGUGGAUGGUAAGCUGUGCUCAAGUUCACCCGCGUCCCCAAGGCUUUUUGGAAAGCCUUCCAGAAAUGCGACGUGAAACGUGUAUCCCGAUCCGACACAAUGCUUACCGGAACCCCAUGUAACCGGACUAUCUCGUCUAUGUACGUUGCUGCGAUCUCCUCGGCUCCAUCCGUUUUUGAAAUUGCCAUAAAAUGCGCGGACUUUGUUAGUCUGUCCACCACAACCCAAACCGCAUUGUGUUUAGACUUGAUCCCCAUAGGUAACCCGGUAACAAAGUCCAUUGUUACAUAGUCCCACUUCCAUUCCGGCAUAGGUAGAUUUUGCACCAAUCCACUCGGAACUUGGUGUUCCGCCUUGACUAGUUGGCACGUCGAACACUUAGCAACCCAUGCCGCUAUGUCCUUCUUCAUUCCAACCCAAUGGUAGUAUCGUUUCAAGUCUCGGUACAUUUUACUCGAUCCGGGGUGGAUCGAGAACUUCGAUUGGUGCGCCUCUUUGAGGAUUUCUUCCUUCAACUCCUUAUCGUUUGGCACGCAUACCCGACCAUUCACCACAAUCGUACCAUUAUUAGACGUUUGGUAUUCCGUCUUAUCGUUCCUUGCCCAAUCGUUUAUCUCCUUGUCUUUCUCUUGAGCCAAACGAAUUCUACUAAGUAGAUCGGUUUGAUCGGCCGCACCUAAUCCUAAUGGCUCAUAAUCCUUAGACAAUGCAUUUAAAUGCAAAGUUCCCAUCAUGUUGACCAAAGCCUCUUGGUUUUUCUCCGCUUCUACUUCAAAACGUCUCCUACUUAAGGCGUCCGCAACUUGAUUUGCUUCCCCCGGGUGAUAUGCAAUAUCUAAGUCGUAAUCCGCCACGAAUUCCAUCCACCUUCUUUGCCUUAGAUUUAACUCCGGCUGGGUGAAUAUGUACUUAAGACUCUUGUGGUCGGUGAAGAUUUGGACUUUAGCUCCGUAAAGAUACGAUCGCCAAAUCUUCAAGGCAAACACCACCGCCGCCAUUUCCAAGUCAUGCGUAGGAUAAUUUCCUUCGUGUUUACGCAAUUGCCUUGAAGCAUAAGCGAUGACACUACCAUUUUGCAUCAAUACGCAUCCUAGUCCCGUGAUCGAUGCAUCCGUAUAGACCAUGUAGGGUUCACCUUCUUCCGGUAGCACCAAUACCGGAGCGCUUGUUAGCAUAGCCUUCAAUUCCGAGAAACUUUUCUCACAUUCCUCCGACCAUUGAAACUUUGUACCCUUUCCGGUUAGCCGGGUCAUCGGUUGCGACAUACUCGCAAAGCCCUUAACGAACCUUCGGUAAUAUCCCGCCAACCCGAGGAAACUUCUUAUCUCAGUGGCAUUCUUCGGUCGUGGCCAAUCCUUAAUAGAUUUUAUCUUCUCCGGAUCGACGGACACUCCUUUAUCCGAAAUAAUAUGUCCGAGGAAUCCAAUACUCCUUUGCCAAAACGAGCACUUGCUUAAUUUUGUAUAUAACUCGUGCUUUCUCAACCGUUCUAACACCGCCCUUAGAUGAUCUUGAUGGGUUUCCCAAUCCUUAGAAUAAACAAGAAUAUCAUCGAUGAAGAUGAUCACAAACUCGUCUAAAAAUUCCUAGAAAACACCAUUCAUCAUCUUCAUAAAGGCUGCCGGUGCAUUGGUUAGUUCAAAUGGCAUGACCACAAAUUCGUAAUGGCCAUACCUUGUCCAAAACGCCGUUUUCCGAAUAUCCAGCGGAUCUAUCGGAAUUUGGUGGUAUCCCGAGGCCAAGUCUAUCUUUGAAAACCACUUGGCACCUCGAAGUUGAUCCAACAACUCAUCUAUUCAAUCCCCGAUAGUCAAUGCAUAGCCUAAAGCUACCAUCCUUUUUCUUUACGAACAAGACCGGUGCACCCCAUGGUGAACUACUCGGUCUAAUGAAUCCUUUAUCCAACAACUCUUCCAAUUGUUUCUUUAGCUCCGCCAUUUCCGCCGGUGCCAUCCGGUACGGAGCUUUAGAUAUAGGAGUUGUUCCUGGUUCGAGUUCAAUAGUGAAUGGAUCGGACCGGUCCGGUGGUAAACCACUCACGGCCUCAAACACAUCCGAGAACUCGUUUGCGAUCGGAAUGUCUUUCAACUCCGCACUCACCCCAACUUCGUGGGUUGUGAUUGUGGCUAUGUAUGCCUCACUCCCUUUCUCUAGCAUCCUUUCCGCUUGGAUUGCCGAGAUUACCAAACUUCCCGAAGUUGUCCUUAUUCCUUGGAAUUUUAACAUUCCUUCCUCCCUCUCGAAUUGAAUCCGUCCUCGAUGACAAUCAAUAUGUGCCUUAUACUUUCCCAACCAAUCCAUACCCAAGAUAACAUCGUGUUUCUUGAGUUGAACAACGAUUAGGUCCGUAGGCAUAUUGACACCGUUAACUACAACCGAGAUGUCCCGAACAAUACCGGACGGGUACAUUGCUUGUCCGCCGGCUGCUCUAACCAUUCCAUAUUCGGUGUUCCGUUCUUUAAUGAACCCACCCUUUUUAACCAUCUCGGAACUCACAAAACAAUGUGUAGCUCCGGAAUCAAAUAAAGUGUGUGUUUCCACAUCACCUAUACUCAAGGUCCCUACACAUUUCCCUAUAGUGCUAAGUACCAAAUCCGUUUAUGCACGAUGAAAUGCAAUGCACGAAUUAAAAUAAAAAGCACAAAGGCUUACCAGUGAUCGCCCUGAAGUUCCCAGCGUUGUUAGCUUCCUCCGACAAUUCGUAAACGCGCAGUGCUAUAGCCUGCCUCUUGGGCGGAGGCGGUAACCCAUUUCCGCUACGGUUUACCCUUUGUCCAGCUUGUCUUUCCGCUUCCAGCUUUGGACAUUCUCUCUUGAAGUGUCCCGCUUUCCCACAGUAGAAGCAAGUCCUUUGCUCAUUCACACUCUCUUUCGGAGUUCCUUGUUUAAUCCGUGGACAGUUUUGAAUACUAUGAUCCUUACUCCCACAACGCACACAUGCACCAACAGCCCUCCAGCAAGUUCCGCUGUGAUUCUUCCCACAAGUAGCGCACUCUCCGCUCUUAGUAUCCGAUUUGGUGUCCUCCACCUUAUCAAAUUUCCUCUUCUUGUCCAUCGGUCUCGUUGGCUGCGAAGGACGCGACGAAAACUUCUCCGGAUUCAUCCGUUUCUCCUCCUGAAGCCCAGCUUCGAUCAUGGCUGCCCUCUCAACCAAUUCGGACACCGAAGUAAAGGUUCAAAUCAAGCAAUGGUUACGGAUCUCGAUCCUUAGUCCUCGGAUGAAACGACGAACUUGAGCUUGUUCAUCCUCGAGUUCUCUCCCCACAUAUCGCCUAAGACGAUUGAACUCUUCGUCAUACUCGCGCACCGUUCGGUUCCCUUGAACCAAAUCCAAGUAGGCGCACUCGAGUCUGUCCCAAGCCUCCGGUGGAAAGAACUUCUUGUUGAAUUCUUCCUCAAAAUCCGCGAAGGAUUGGAUUUGAUCACCUUUCCGUUUCUCGACGGUUAGCCACCAGUUAUGUGCAUCGCCCUCCAAGAAGUGGAUUGCAAUGUCCUUCCGGUAAUCCUCCGGGCAUCGAGUGGAGUUAAAGUUUCUUUUGAGCCGAGUCCUCCACUCAUCCGCCACGAUCGGGUCGGAACUCCCCGUGAAAUGCUUUGUUCCCAACUUCGAGACAUGCGCGAGUAAACUUAAGUAGUCUCCCCGCUUCCUUGAAGAGUUCGUAGGCAGAUUGACUUCAACAGUCUCCACAUCUACGUCUGCAUCCGCGUCCGUUUUGUUCUCCUUCACUAGUACCACAGGAUCCGGUACGAGUGCCUUAGUCAAUGCGGCCAUUUGUGCCAUCAUUGCCUUCAUCGUAUCCCAUUGUUCUUGGGCCGAUGGAAGUGUAUUCGGUGCCUCUUUUUCCUCCGUUGCAUCACUACUCUCCGGAGUUUUGUGAACCGGAAGUUUCUGUCCAGCCUCAGGUCCGGCCGGGUUUAUUCCAUCCAUCGUUGCUUCGACCCUUGUUUUCUCAGUGACCCGCGUCUCCUCGGCGGUCAAGGUCUCCUCAACGACGUCCUUAUCCUUCUUACUCUUUCCCUUCUUGUCUUUCUUACCCAUUUGCGAAAACUCACAAGUUAGUCAUAUAACUCAAAGUAAUCGUUUAGAGAGAAAGAACAUCUACCGCGAGAUCUCAUUAAGCCGAUGAGUGGUGAUCCCCAAACCCAAAACUCAUAGUCCUAGAACCGUAAAUGCUCUGAUACCAACUUGAAAGACCCCAACCCGGACUCCCUAAGCCCGGAGAGGUUCUUCCCGAACGGAUCACUAAGUGGUCCGAUCCUUAGCCAAAUUUUAGGGUUCAUUCCUUAAGACAAUCUGUUUCAUAUUAUUCCGCGAUUCAUUAUUUAGAGUCAUUAUGCAACCUUAGAGUAAAACAAACGAUCGGAUACUUUAUUAGAUAAGUAAAGGAUUCGAUACAACUUAUGAGUUUGCAUAUAAGCUAUUACAAGUCAUAUAAUCGAUCCUAUUCUACCCGAUUCACCACCACCCAUCUUCCCGACCAUGAGUCUCUCGCGCCUAAGCCAUAUCCUUCCCACGAUCACCAUCCUUCUCUGAAACCAACAAGACAUAAGUACACGUCUUUUACUUAGUGGAUGCAAGUCCAUGCAAUGCACUAUACGUUCUAAUAAUCCUUUGGUCCGGAAAACGGAUCGGAGAGAGGAAGUAAGCGCAUCAGUUCGGCCUAGAACCGGUAGAUCCUCGCGGAUCCGCCGAUUCCUUGCCGAGCCGCCUCCCCGUCUCAACCAAACCGUUACUCCUCCCAAAGUAUGCACGAUAUGAAUAUGCUCAUGAAUGACUAGGCCGAUCAACGAACUAAUCAAGCAACCCACAAUAUCCUAGCCCUUAUACCAUCCGCACGUCCGGAGAUCGUAAUCUCCGAGGCAUUACCACGGCUUUACACCCACCUUGACUACACGGAUUCGAUCGGUGAAUGAUCCGUGUUGCCUCUCUUGAUCGCCGAUAGAACGCUCGGCUCCGCAAACUCUCCUUUUAACCGUAUUCCUCUCGGCAAAUGCCUUAGUUUCCUCUGGAUUUUUAGGUGUUUGAGCGUGUCCGAAAAAUGAAGGAAUCGCCUUCUAUU
Molecule: long non-coding RNA, 6967 nt
Filed under: Arabidopsis lyrata
Lineage: Eukaryota; Viridiplantae; Streptophyta; Magnoliopsida; Brassicales; Brassicaceae
Description: long non-coding RNA (ALYR_LNC002729)
Source: RNAcentral